UCAGUGGCGAACGGGUGAGUAACACGUGAGCAACCUGCCCCUGACUCUGGGAUAAGCGCUGGAAACGGCGUCUAAUACUGGAUAUGUGACGUGACCGCAUGGUCUGCGUUUGGAAAGAUUUUUCGGUUGGGGAGGGGCUCGCGGCCUAUCAGCUUGUUGGUGAGGUAAUGGCUCACCAAGGCGUCGACGGGUAGCCGGCCUGAGAGGGUGACCGGCCACACUGGGACUGAGACACGGCCCAGACUCCUACGGGAGGCAGCAGUGGGGAAUAUUGCACAAUGGGCGAAAGCCUGAUGCAGCAACGCCGCGUGAGGGAUGACGGCCUUCGGGUUGUAAACCUCUUUUAGCAGGGAAGAAGCGAAAGUGACGGUACCUGCAGAAAAAGCGCCGGCUAACUACGUGCCAGCAGCCGCGGUAAUACGUAGGGCGCAAGCGUUAUCCGGAAUUAUUGGGCGUAAAGAGCUCGUAGGCGGUUUGUCGCGUCUGCUGUGAAAUCCCGAGGCUCAACCUCGGGCCUGCAGUGGGUACGGGCAGACUAGAGUGCGGUAGGGGAGAUUGGAAUUCCUGGUGUAGCGGUGGAAUGCGCAGAUAUCAGGAGGAACACCGAUGGCGAAGGCAGAUCUCUGGGCCGUAACUGACGCUGAGGAGCGAAAGGGUGGGGAGCAAACAGGCUUAGAUACCCUGGUAGUCCACCCCGUAAACGUUGGGAACUAGUUGUGGGGUCCAUUCCACGGAUUCCGUGACGCAGCUAACGCAUUAAGUUCCCCGCCUGGGGAGUACGGCCGCAAGGCUAAAACUCAAAGGAAUUGACGGGGACCCGCACAAGCGGCGGAGCAUGCGGAUUAAUUCGAUGCAACGCGAAGAACCUUACCAAGGCUUGACAUAUACGAGAACGGGCCAGAAAUGGUCAACUCUU
Molecule: ribosomal RNA, 916 nt
Filed under: Microbacterium paraoxydans
Lineage: Bacteria; Bacillati; Actinomycetota; Actinomycetes; Micrococcales; Microbacteriaceae
Description: bacterial SSU rRNA
Rfam family: Bacterial small subunit ribosomal RNA
Source: RNAcentral